RNAcentral lists this ribosomal RNA (254 nucleotides) under uncultured bacterium. Its description in RNAcentral is "partial 16S ribosomal RNA". It matches the Rfam family "Bacterial small subunit ribosomal RNA", at positions 524 to 776 of the family's 1533-position model. The record is from RNAcentral.
CACGUAGGGGGCGAGCGUUGUCCGGAUUUAUUGGGCGUAAAGAGCUCGUAGGCGGCUAAGUAAGUCGGGUGUGAAAACUCCAGGCUCAACCUGGAGACGCCACCCGAUACUGCUUUGGCUAGAGUCCGGUAGGGGAGCAUGGAACUCCUGGUGUAGCGGUGAAAUGCGCAGAUAUCAGGAGGAACACCAGUGGCGAAGGCGGUGCUCUGGGCCGGAACUGACGCUGAGGAGCGAAAGCGUGGGGAGCAAACAGG